Molecule: long non-coding RNA, 4299 nt
Organism: Gopherus flavomarginatus (Mexican gopher tortoise)
Lineage: Eukaryota; Metazoa; Chordata; Testudines; Testudinidae
Exons: 2
Source: RefSeq, a predicted model, not a curated record
GCCGCGUGUGUCGGGCGGGUAACAGCUCCACCCGCCUGCGCCAGGACGGUCCUGAGCUAGUGUCCCGAAUGCGCUGGCGCAGCGCGGUGAACGAGGGCAGCCCAACGAAAGUGACCCUGGAGGCGGGGAAACACAUCAGUUAGCACGACCGGCUGUGGUGACAUCAGGGCUAAGAUGGCCACUCUCGCUGCAGCAGCCCGAUGGAUUAGACACUAGAUUUCCUUCCCACUUCCAUACAUACAUUCUGGAAUCAGCCUCUCUGGGACUAUGCUGCGUGUAAAACAAAACCCCGACAACUGCUGCCUUCAGCGGGCAUACUGCAACGGCCUUGUCAUCACAGAGCUGUGUGAUCCAGCUUAGAAAUAAAAUGCCAUGCACAGAACAAACACUUGCAUCACCCUUCCCUUACAUUUACAAGAUGACUGCAACUCUUGUAGAGCCAUGUGCCAUCAAUAGGGAAACUCAUACUCAGAAACCACAAACUACACCACCACAAGUUUCCAUCAUCCAGAAAGAUUCAGUUGUGUGAUUACUGAUCUACAUCAUUUGUAGAAGAGUGAAUACAAGUUAGGCCUUUGACAGAAAAAGAAGAGUAGAGGGUUCCUAACUGGAAAAGAUGCAGUGUUUCUCAAGCGUAGCCACUUGUAGCCACCAGGGGCUUCUCUUGCAGCAACAGCCUCCUGGGUGAUUGUGGGGAAGCAGCAGCCCCACCCCAGGGCUGCCAGCAGUGGUUGGCCCAUGGCCGCCUCUGGGGGAGACAGAAAAGCUGGAGGAGCAGACAACUGGUAUGAGUUCCCCAGCAUCCUAGAGGUCCAGUAAAGAAUAGAGACAACUGUACAUUAUUUUCAUUACUGAGUCUGCAAACAAAUUACUAUGAUUUGGACAUGUAUAUGUGGAUAUUUAUUUUUCCUCAAGUUAAGUAUUUUAGGAAAAAUUGUCAGAGAGGCCACCAGCAAGACUUGGUGGCCGCACUCUGACUCCACCAAAAAUGUAUUGUGAGAAUUCCUUAUGCUGAGAGGUACUAGGGAUGGCAGUCACAAUUAACAAUUGUCAGGAUGAGUUAAUCAGAAGCCCUCCACUUAAGACAAAAAGGGAUCGUGAACUUGUCCAAGAGUUUGGGCUGAGGUGAUGGUGAUCUUCUGCUGAGUGGUGUUUGUGUGGGUACAUGUAGGAAGGCAGAAGAGGAAAAGCAAGCAAGCCAGGCAUUAACUGGUGAGUGCCAUGUGUGAUCCUAGAAAAAGCUAGGCAGAGACUUUUUUGGUCUGUUCAGUUGGCUAACAAGACUGGGGGCUGUAAGCUAAUGAACUGUUCCUGUUGUGGCUGGUUCUUCUUAGACUCAGAGUCUUGUAAAUAAACAAGAUUACAUCCAAGAAAAUACCAUAUUCCAUCAAUGUGUUACCAGCUAGAACAUCCCCAAAGCCCCAAACGUUGACUAGACACUCAGGUCACAGAGGGGCAAUGCUUCUAACAAACCUAUCCUGUAUUAGAUACAUUUGGAGUUAGAAAAUACAAGGACUCUUCCUUUCCAGCCUGAAGAAAUGUUCAAACGUUAAGUUCCUAUAUCUAUUAGCUGUUGCACAAUAGAGAGUUGCCCUUACAGGAAAAGAGCUGGACUUUUUGGUUCAAUAGGUUAGACUGCACAAUGGUGACUUGAAUUACACACACACACACACCCCCUAAAACCACUAGCUGAUAAACAGAUAACUUCCUCCUUGCACAUAAUAUAAUUUUGUUUCACAACGAAAAAUGUUUGAAGGCUAUGACUCAACAGGCCUAAUCUGAUUUAGUGCUGCCUCUUAAGGAGGGGAGUCAGCUGUAAAUUUUAUUUUUUUCCUCAUCCUGAUUGACUAAUUAACUUAUGUAGAGACAAAUGACAUCAAAAUAGGCAAAGCUGAGAAAAGGGUAAGCUCUAGCCACUUUACAAUAGCAAGCAAAAUACAUUUUAAAAAAUGGUAGGGAAUGUUUGCUCUGGGGAAUCUCCAUUUGCAAUUGCAAAAGUUUUAUUUGUACUACUUCCUUUCAUAUAAUUCUCAUUGCUUAUUUUAUUCAAAACUAAGAAAGCAAACAUUAAACUGAUGACAUCUGCCACUGCAAAUGGAGAAAACCCUGCAGCCCCAGAUGAGUACUAUGGGAAACAGGAGGAAUGAGGGGAACGGGUGUCAAGGAAAAGAGGUCACACCUGAGUGCAUGUGCUUGAUGAUAUAUUCAAAUUUUGCUUCAACAUAGUCAGAAAAAAGUGAACAUAUGCCAGUGUAUACAAAGUCUUUUUUCUUCAGUGUAUUUGCAUGUAACUUGUGAUAGAGAUUCACAUAAUUCUUAAUGUGUUACAGCCGGGUUUUUCUUGUGGGGGAAAAAAGUCAUUCUUUUAAAAAAAGACUGAACAUUUCACCAGUCUUUCACUACAAACCUGUAACAGCCUGUAGACUGGUGAAGAGUUGUUUGAAUUCCAUAGCAGAUAGGCAGCUAAAUAGGAACUAUUAAAUGCUUUGAAAUUUAGAGAUGAAAAAUGCAGUUAUUCAUUUAACUGGUUUACUAAGCAAGAAUCAAAAUUAAAGCCAGCAGUUAAUAUUUUACUUAUAAUAUUAUAGAUCAGUAAGUCAAAUAUAGCUACUCGAUUGCUAGUUUAAAAACUGCUCUUUUGUGUAUGAAUUUCUGUGCAACAGUAAAAAUCAUGAUCCCUACUAAAAACUGUUAAUCAUGAGUUACAAUCCCAUAGUAUGAGAAAUAAUUUCUUUUAAGGACCAACCUAGACCAUACAUUAUUUAUAUCUGUAAGAGAUGUUAUUACAUUCAUUGGAUGAAAGAGAAUUAUACAUUUUCAGAAAGCCUAUGAUUCCAUUUGAGGUUUCUGUAGCCAUGGUAACAUGUAGGUAGCAGAGCUAAUUUUAGCCUGUGGUUUCAUUGUUCCAGUAUUAAAGAAUUAGGUUCCAAAAAUAUAAUCCUGGCCAUUGAUGUCAUUCUAGAAGACUGGCCUUUUCCUUGCACAUUUAAAAGCAAGUCACAUGUAGGAGCCAUCUGACCAUAACGUACCCACCUAACACAAAACACAUUUGGUAUAAAAUGCCAUAGUGUAUAUUGGGUCCAUAGCCAAACCAGUACCUGGAAUGUUCUGCACCACAAAACGUAAAUUAGGAUAAAGAUAAAGCAAGCACAAUGAUUAAAGAAACUAUAGACGACAGAAGUGACCAGCUCAGAAAAACAUGCCUCCCCCACCCCCCAAGAAAAGUGAAAAAAGGUCUGUCAAGUGAUCAUAAAAAUAUUGACCAGAUUGAAAGACUGCUCAAACACAGACAAACAGGCUUUGGUGGACACCUUCAGGGAAAACACUCUACAGGCUGGGUUUCUAAACCAAGAAGUUCUUGCUCACAGCCCGAGACCUUGAGAGAAAUAAAGGCCAAACCAAUUAACUCCAAAUGCAUUAGAAAGACACAGCAGGACAGAAUUUUAAUAUGUUACCAUAGAAUAGUAAUUAAAGAUGGAAGGAACUUAAGUCAUCAAGGCAAGUGCCCGCCAUUAGAAUAUGCUGUUUGAGUAAAGCAGGUUGAUUGAACACUGUAUUUGCCUAUGUCCCUUUACAAAUUCUAUAUAGUACUACAGGAACAAUACAGAUCUUAACUUCCAACUGAAAAAUGCAAAUACAGUAACAUUCUGUCAACUGAGGAGUUACACAUUACCAGAAAUCCAGUCAGUCAAUCUGUGCACUACCAGUACUGUUAGUGACUCAAUAAGUUUAGCCCAAAGUACCAUGUUAAUACUAACAUGUUGAGCAGGGAGCUAGCAAAAUAUGUAUACUAACCAUGUUUUGAAAAAGGCUGUAGUAAUUACUUCGUUCAGUGUUGUGAGGAUUAAUUUGUAAAGCAGGUCGAGUUGCUCUGUCAAAAGACACUGUAGAAUGUUAACAGUCAAACUGCAUAAAUAUUUAAGAUUAAAUGUAACCGGUUAAUGCUUAAUUGAAUUUAAAUAAUCCAAAUAAAGAGGAGCUGUUUUGAAACUUUCCACAGACGCAGAAAUAAGCCGAGUUCAGUGGUUUUAACUGGUUCAAUUUGCUUUUGAGGCUUCAUUUCUGAAAAACUGCACAUAAUUUGAAUAAAAUGAAAGUGCAUAAAUCUUACAUCUUCAGGUCAAAUAGCAGCCCACCGGGAUGACAUACACUUCAUCUUGCUCCGAGUGGCUAAGAUCGUUACAGAUCAAGACAGAGUAAUGGACUCUGAAGUCAUUUUUAUUGGCCACAGCAGUAGAAUUAAAAAUAAAGGCAAUCUCAUUUCAAACUCAUUUAGCCACGUUUCACUCAUGGACCAAA